RNAcentral lists this signal recognition particle RNA (99 nucleotides) under Anaerolineales bacterium. RNAcentral describes it as "signal recognition particle sRNA small type". It matches the Rfam family "Bacterial small signal recognition particle RNA". Rfam says of the family: The signal recognition particle (SRP) is a universally conserved ribonucleoprotein involved in the co-translational targeting of proteins to membranes. Archaeal SRP consists of a 7S RNA and homologues of the eukaryotic SRP19 and SRP54 proteins. Lineage: Bacteria; Bacillati; Chloroflexota; Anaerolineae; Anaerolineales. The record is from RNAcentral.
AAUCGGGUCCCUGGCGGCGAGUACCGCCGAACCGUGUCAGAUCCGGAAGGAAGCAGCACUAAGGCGGCCCACUCGGGUGACUAGGAUCACCUGGUUUGC